Molecule: ribosomal RNA, 500 nt
Filed under: uncultured bacterium
Lineage: Bacteria
Description: partial 16S ribosomal RNA
Rfam family: Bacterial small subunit ribosomal RNA
Source: RNAcentral
ACUCAAAGGAAUAGACGGGGGCCCGCACAAGCGGUGGAGCAUGUGGUUUAAUUCGACGCAACGCGAAGAACCUUACCUGGGCUCGAACGGCUUCGGACGAUCUCUGGAAACAGGGGUGUUCCCGCAAGGGACCGGAGUCGAGGUGCUGCAUGGCUGUCGUCAGCUCGUGUCGUGAGAUGUUGGGUUAAGUCCCGCAACGAGCGCAACCCUUGCCCUGUGUUGCUACUACGCAAGUAGGCACUCUCAGGGGACCGCCAGCGAUAAGCUGGAGGAAGGUGGGGAUGACGUCAAGUCAUCAUGGCCUUUAUGUCCAGGGCUACACACGUGCUACAAUGGGCGGUACAAAGCGCCGCAAACCCGCGAGGGGGAGCAAAUCGCAAAAAACCGUUCUCAGUUCGGAUUGCAGGCUGCAACUCGCCUGCAUGAAGCUGGAAUCGCUAGUAAUGGCGUAUCAGAAUGACGCCGUGAAUACGUUCCCGGGCCUUGUACACACCGCCCGU